AAGUCGUAACAAGGUUUCCGUAGGUGAACCUGCGGAAGGAUCAUUAACGAGUCUUUUGAAAGUGGGCUUGAUGCUGGCCCCUUAGGGCAUCGUGCUCGGCCCCGCUUCAAUCCUCUCAACCACCGUGCACCUUCCUCGAGUCUGUGGUCCUCCGUCACGGGAGCCGCUCCUGGCCUGACGACGCUCGCGUCGAACGGCCGGUCGAGCCGGGAUCGCAUCGCUCGGGGCCUCUUUUUAAACACACACACCUUUGUCAGUCUUGUAGAAUGCAUCUACGCCCCUGGCGUAAAAAUUAAAUACAACUUUCAACAACGGAUCUCUUGGCUCUC
Molecule: unclassified non-coding RNA, 329 nt
Filed under: air metagenome
Description: partial contains small subunit ribosomal RNA, internal transcribed spacer 1, and 5.8S ribosomal RNA
Rfam family: Eukaryotic small subunit ribosomal RNA (bases 1-46)
Source: RNAcentral